Molecule: ribosomal RNA, 498 nt
Filed under: uncultured bacterium
Lineage: Bacteria
Description: partial 16S ribosomal RNA
Rfam family: Bacterial small subunit ribosomal RNA
Source: RNAcentral
AUUGAACGCUGGCGGCAUGCUUUACACAUGCAAGUCGAACGGUAACAGGCCGCAAGGUGCUGACGAGUGGCGAACGGGUGAGUAAUGCAUCGGAACGUGCCCGGUCGUGGGGGAUAACGCAGCGAAAGCUGUGCUAAUACCGCACACGAUCUAUGGAUGAAAGCGGGGGACCGUAAGGCCCCGCGCGGUUGGAGCCGCGGAUGUCAGGUUAGCUAGGUGGGGGGGUAAAGGCCCACCAAGGCGCCGAGCUGUAGGUGGUCUGAGAGGACGACCAGCCACACUGGGACUGAGACACGGCCCAGACUCCUACGGGAGGCAGCAGUGGGGAAUUUUGGACAAUGGGCGCAAGCCUGAUCCAGCAAUGCCGCGUGCAGGAAGAAGGCCUUCGGGUGGUAAACUGCUUUUGUACGGAACGAAACGGUCUGGGUUAAUACCCUGGGCUAAUGACGGUACCGUAAGAAUAAGCACCGGCUAACUACGUGCCAGCCGCCGCAGUAA